RNAcentral lists this signal recognition particle RNA (96 nucleotides) under Nocardiopsis halophila. Its description in RNAcentral is "signal recognition particle sRNA small type". It matches the Rfam family "Bacterial small signal recognition particle RNA". From Rfam's summary of the family: The signal recognition particle (SRP) is a universally conserved ribonucleoprotein involved in the co-translational targeting of proteins to membranes. Lineage: Bacteria; Bacillati; Actinomycetota; Actinomycetes; Streptosporangiales; Nocardiopsidaceae. The record is from RNAcentral. RNAcentral also lists the same sequence under 1 other name.
GCAGACCCCUCGUGCGGCGUCACCUUAUGAACCUCCCCAGGGCCGGAAGGCAGCAAGGAUAAGUAAGCUCUGGCGGGUGCGCGAGGGGUCCUUUGU